Molecule: ribosomal RNA, 522 nt
Filed under: uncultured bacterium
Lineage: Bacteria
Description: bacterial SSU rRNA
Rfam family: Bacterial small subunit ribosomal RNA
Source: RNAcentral
GAUGAACGCUGGCGGCGUGCCUCAAACAUGCAAGUCGAGCGGGGCUAUGUAAUAUCGCAAGGUAGAACAUAGCCUAGCGGCGAACGGGUGAGUAACACGUGGGUAACCUGCCUGGAAGACAGGGAUAACGAUUCGAAAGGGUCGCUAAUACCUGAUAAUAUCCUUUCAUCGCAUGGUGAUAGGAAGAAAGGGGAAACCCGCUUUCAGAUGGGCCCGCGUCCCAUCAGCUAGUUGGUAAGGUAAAGGCUUACCAAGGCGACGACGGGUAGCCGGUCUGAGAGGAUGUACGGCCACACUGGGACUGAGAUACGGCCCAGACUCCUACGGGAGGCAGCAGUUGGGAAUCUUAGGCAAUGGACGAAAGUCUGACCUAGCGACGCCGCGUGAGGGAAGAAGGCCUUGGGUUGUAAACCGUCUGUCAUGGGGAAGAAGAAGUGACGGUACCCAAGAGGAAGCCCUGCUAACUACGUGCCAGCCGCCGGCGGUAAACCUACCGUACGUCCUACUACGACGGCGGUCGAC